Molecule: ribosomal RNA, 325 nt
Filed under: uncultured eukaryote
Lineage: Eukaryota
Description: partial 18S ribosomal RNA
Rfam family: Eukaryotic small subunit ribosomal RNA
Source: RNAcentral
CCCUUAGAUGUCCUGGGCCGCACGCGCGCUACACUGAUGCAUUCAACGAGUUUUACCUUGGCCGAGAGGCCUGGGCAAUCUUUUAAACCUGCAUCGUGAUAGGGAUAGAUUAUUGCAAUUAUUAAUCUUGAACGAGGAAUUCCUAGUAAACGCAAAUCAUCAAUUUGCAUUGAUUACGUCCCUGCCCUUUGUACACACCGCCCGUCGCUACUACUGAUUGGGUGUUCAAGUGAGAUGCUUAGACCCUUGUUGCAUGGUUCAUUAUUGUGCUCCGAAAGGAAAAAGUUUCAAGCUUGAGUGUCUAGAGGAAGUAAAAGUCGUAACA